AGCUGAUGCAGCACGCCGCGUGCGGGAUGACGGCCUUCGGGUUGUAAACCGCUUUCGCCUGUGACGAAGCGUGAGUGACGGUAAUGGGUAAAGAAGCACCGGCUAACUACGUGCCAGCAGCCGCGGUGAUACGUAGGGUGCGAGCGUUGUCCGGAUUUAUUGGGCGUAAAGGGCUCGUAGGUGGUUGAUCGCGUCGGAAGUGUAAUCUUGGGGCUUAACCCUGAGCGUGCUUUCGAUACGGGUUGACUUGAGGAAGGUAGGGGAGAAUGGAAUUCCUGGUGGAGCGGUGGAAUGCGCAGAUAUCAGGAGGAACACCAGUGGCGAAGGCGGUUCUCUGGGCCUUUCCUGACGCUGAGGAGCGAAAGCGUGGGGAGCGAACAGGCUUAGAUACCCUGGUAGUCCACGCUGUAAACGGUGGGUACUAGGUGUGGGGUCCAUUCCACGGGUUCCGUGCCGUAGCUAACGCUUUAAGUACCCCGCCUGGGGAGUACGGCCGCAAGGCUAAAACUCAAAGGAAUUGACGGA
This 525-nucleotide ribosomal RNA is filed under the name uncultured bacterium. RNAcentral's name for it is "bacterial SSU rRNA". It matches the Rfam family "Bacterial small subunit ribosomal RNA", at positions 381 to 917 of the family's 1533-position model. The record is from RNAcentral.